AAUUUUCCUCAAGAUACACACACACACACACAAAUUCUGCACAUGUACAAAAUCCUGCAUAUAUCUCAUCGUACAAUCAGAUAUCUUACAUGAUCCACAGCUGUAAAGGUGCUUUGGAGAAGCUUCACAGCUAUCUAACUCAUUAUUGAAGUCCUUCACUCGUCUCUCCUAUCAUCUGCCCAAGUUCCUCACUUCCGUGUUCUCUCAAAUAAACAGAGGAGGAGUCCAGCAGCAAUUGAACUCGAUUUCCACCUCCAACCCAGCCCUUUUAUUCCUUCUAUCUCCAAUGGCAAACCAACUCAAAUACCUCCUGAUCACCACCGAUUCCAGUUGAAACAAACCCCUAAUCAUAAACACGCAUGUAGCAGCUUACCAGAGAAGAAGAAGCAGCAUGCCUUCAUUGGUUAGACACUCAAACUGCUCCUACUCACCUUGUCCCUGCUUCUCCAUAAAUCUCAGGUUGACUCCAAGAUUCCCAUUCCAAAUCCCGCUUAGAACGAGAGCUUCCUGACACUUCCGACUCUCAAAACCAAUGAAAUUAAGGCAAGAAAUUCACGCGAGGAGUAUGGAAUCAUCGUCUUAUAUUUUUGUUCUAAAUUAAGUUUUAUGUCCUCUUUUUGAAUCGUUGAAGAUUUGUCAUGAAACAUGUAACAAAGUAAGAUAUAAUUAUGUCGUAUGUGAUGUAAAACUUUAAGUGGUUGUUUAAUGUUUGAUAUAUGCUAUGUUUGUGAUAUUCGAUUUUCGUCACUCACCCGGUGAUUCCGCCGUUGGCUGGGGGUGUGACACCCGGAUUCCCAGAAGAAGAUCAAGGCAAGAGGAGACCAAAGAAGGUGCUAAUCCAGUGAUUCCUGAGCUCAGAUACUUCAUUUAAGGAGGACUAUAGAUCGGGGGAUCGAGCACGAGUGAUUUCAGGGAUUUGCGAGUUACUGAGAUACGCGAGGUACUAGUGAUGACCGUGGGAAGGCGCCGGCUUGAUCAGUACACACAUGAGAUUUUCAUGUUAUGUGAUCUUGGGAUUCUUUAUAUGUCAUGGAUUGGAGUUUCAAACAUUGAUGUUUUUAUGAAAAUUAAAUGAAUAUGUUUUUAUAUUAUGCGAAAAAUUAUUUUGAAAUUUACGGUGUUACAAAGAACCCUUUCUAUGUAAGUCAAAUGUAUAGUAUAAUAUAGCUAUGUUUAUCUUGCUUUGUUUUGUA
This is a long non-coding RNA of Lactuca sativa (garden lettuce), 1193 nucleotides long. RefSeq lists it as uncharacterized. The record is from RefSeq and is a predicted model, not a curated record. NCBI's taxonomy places the organism in Eukaryota, Viridiplantae, Streptophyta, Magnoliopsida, Asterales, Asteraceae.